RNAcentral lists this ribosomal RNA (293 nucleotides) under uncultured eukaryote. Its description in RNAcentral is "partial 18S ribosomal RNA". It matches the Rfam family "Eukaryotic small subunit ribosomal RNA", at positions 6 to 299 of the family's 1831-position model. The record is from RNAcentral.
GGUUGAUCCUGCCAGUAGUCAUAUGCUUGUCUCAAAGAUUAAGCCAUGCAUGUCUAAGUAUAAGCAAUUAUACUGCGAAACUGCGAAUGGCUCAAUAAAUCAGUUAUAGUUUAUUUGAUAGUGCCUUACUACUUGGAUAACCGUAGUAAAUCUAGAGCUAAUACAUGCCAAAAAGACCCGACUUCUGGAAGGGUUGCAUUUAUUAGAUACAAAACCAAUGCAGGGCAACCUGGUACUUGGUGAUUCAUGAUAACUUCGCGAAUCGCAGCGUCGAAAGACGGCGAUGAAUCAUU